This 754-nucleotide long non-coding RNA is filed under the name Bos indicus x Bos taurus (hybrid cattle). RNAcentral describes it as "lncRNA (ENSBIXG00000021418.1)". The record is from RNAcentral. Lineage: Eukaryota; Metazoa; Chordata; Mammalia; Artiodactyla; Bovidae.
AUGUAUAAGCUGACCACCUACCCUGGAACCCCCCACCUCCCACCACCAGGUGAUUUGCUGAAACCCUUCUGGGAGCUUGUUUUUUUUUUUUUUUUUUUUUUAGGGCAUGAACCACUCGUCUCCUGGCCCUGCAGUAAACCUUUUUCUGCUCGAAGCUCUGAUGUUUUAAUGUGUUGGAGUACACGAACUAGUGCUAACCAUCUCCUCUUGUGUUCAUUUUCCUCUCUCGUCAUCAGGUGCCUGGAGCUGCUGGCUUUUCCCUGCCAGGCAGGAGACCCCGAAGCUGCUCUGUCCUCCCUCCCCUCUGUAGGCUGGGGAGGGCAUCUUUCUGAUCCUUGGAUAAAAUCCCUCCUAUCAAGAUCAUCCAUCAGUAUCUUCCUGAACAUUCCCAAAGGCCCUCUGAGAGAAUGGUAUGAGAUUCUUUUUCAUCUGAAGUCCACAGCCCUGGGGUCCUUGAAAGUGAACCUGAUCCUACUCGAACCAGAUUUUCACUAUAAACAAAAAGGCUCUGUGAUUCCUCCAAGGCACAGAAGGACAAGAGAUUCCAAUCAGAUGACCUCUAGCUUGAUUUCAAAUACAACCAUUCUACCAGGAAGCUAUUCUCUCAAAUCUGUGAAGAAGAUUCUGAAAGCUGAAAGGUGUUAGAUAUUGAAAGACAAUUCCCAAAAUAGUGAAAGAAAGAUUUCAUUAUUUUGUUACUUUUUUUUUUUUUUCCUUUUGGUAAUAAAGAAUUUGGUGGAGUUAGUUUCUGGCA